Molecule: RNA transcript, 1732 nt
Organism: Bombyx mori (domestic silkworm)
Lineage: Eukaryota; Metazoa; Arthropoda; Insecta; Lepidoptera; Bombycidae
Gene: mdlc
Gene name: E3 ubiquitin-protein ligase RNF113A
Exons: 7
Source: RefSeq, a predicted model, not a curated record
UCAAUCACAUGUCAAUGUUAAAAAUGAGCAUUAUUUUGAUCAUUGCCAAUAUUAUCAUGUUGUGAAAUGCAAAAAUUAAUUAAAAACCCUAUAAAUACCGACAAUACUUGAAGGUCCUAAAGUGAAAUACAGUACUUUUAUUUAGUAUUAUUGUGUCCUCAUUAAUGAUUAUGUAGAUAUUACUCUAAUAUCGUAGUAAGCACACACUAGGUUGAAUAAACAAUCGUUCAAAAUGUCAGACGCCGAAGUGGAAGUACUCAGUACUUUUAAAAAACGUAAUAUUAAGAAUAGGGGUGGCAGAAAACGUAAAACUUCCAGUUCAGAAGAGAAAAACAGCUCGGACUCUGAUGAGCAACAAGUAGUUCUACCAACGAAAAGGGUGAACAAACCAAAUCCAAACAUACAGUCUACAGGAGGUCCGAAGAAAUCCAAAAUUGAUGUAAUUGAAGAUAAUGAUGAUAGUAAUGAUGAAGAAAAGACUUCUCAAAGGACAACACUAUCGGUUCAACAACAGAGAGAGAAUGCAACAGCUACCUAUGAAUUAGACACAGAAAAGGAUAGAGAUGCCCAAGCCAUCUUUGAGAAGGCUCAGAAGAUCAAUGAAGAGUUGCACGGACAAGCAGAUGAUAAGAUAUAUCGUGGGAUAAACAACUAUGCCCAAUAUUAUAAAAAGAAAGACACUGCAGCUGGUAAUGCCAGCUCUGGUCUAGUCAGGAAAGGGCCCAUCAGAGCUCCAGCAAACUUGAGGGCCACAGUCAGAUGGGAUUAUCAGCCUGAUAUAUGCAAAGAUUAUAAGGAGACUGGCUUUUGUGGAUUUGGUGAUUCAUGUAAAUUCCUUCACGACCGCUCUGACUACAAACAUGGCUGGCAACUGGAACGCGAGGAGCUGGAGACACCGGGACAAGAUGGAGAUUCAGAUUACGAGAUCCACAGCGACGAGGAACUACCGUUCAAAUGUUUUGUAUGCAGAGAGGGAUUCACAAAUCCUGUUGUUACCAAGUAAGUGUAAGUUGGAACUGUAGAGGUGAUGAGGUAAAAUAGAGUUGUAGAGGACUAGGUCUAUAGUGGUGCAGUAUAGGACUAGAGGCUGGAUGUAGGUCGGAUUUUUGUGUAGAGCAACUAUUCUACAAGGAUAAAGGAAUCGUUUUAUUAAAGUUUUAAGUUGUGGUGGCCUUAAGGAUACGAUGCGACAAUGCCGGUGUUCGAAUCCCGCUGACGGGUUCGAAUUUUUCUAAUGAAAUACGUACUUAACUCAUGUUCACGAAUGACAUUCAAACCCACACAAUUAAGACAUUAAUUUCAAGUCUGAAUGUGGGUGGUGGUAAGCAUGUUGUUGAUGUCCGUGGACUUCCAUAACCACGUGACACAAUACAACAUAAAAAGCAAGGUAUCUUGCAACAGACGAGACUUUGGACGACGCAAUGGAUUUUAGUUGCGAUUACAUUACGUGCUGAAGAACAUUAGACUUUAAUGCGAUCGUCGCUAGGUUCACAGUCAGGGUGCAGUACCCUCACGUGCCAAGUUCCUCUGCAGGUGCAAACACUACUUCUGCGAGAAAUGCGCUCUGGAGCAAUACAAGAAAUCGACCCGUUGUUUCAUUUGCAACGCGCAGACCGGCGGCGUGUUCAACCCUGCCAAGGAACUGGAAGCCAAACUGAAGAAGCGACUCAGCGAUGACGAUGAUGAUGAUGAUGAUGACGAUGAAUGAUUGAUAAUAAAAUAUGACUUUGAA